Molecule: ribosomal RNA, 497 nt
Filed under: uncultured bacterium
Lineage: Bacteria
Description: partial 16S ribosomal RNA
Rfam family: Bacterial small subunit ribosomal RNA
Source: RNAcentral
GAUGAACGCUGGCGGCGUGCCUAAUACAUGCCAGUCGAGCGAACAGACGAGGAGCUUGCUCCUCUGACGUUAGCGGCGGACGGGUGAGUAACACGUGGAUAACCUACCUAUAAGACUGGGAUAACUUCGGGAAACCGGAGCUAAUACCGGAUAAUAUAUUGAACCGCAUGGUUCAAUAGUGAAAGACGGUUUUGCUGUCACUUAUAGAUGGAUCCGCGCCGCAUUAGCUAGUUGGUAAGGUAACGGCUUACCAAGGUGACGAUGCGUAGCCGACCUGAGAGGGUGAUCGGCCACACUGGAACUGAGACACGGUCCAGACUCCUACGGGAGGCAGCAGUAGGGAAUCUUCCGCAAUGGGCGAAAGCCUGACGGAGCAACGCCGCGUGAGUGAUGAAGGUCUUCGGAUCGUAAAACUCUGUUAUUAGGGAAGAACAAAUGUGUAAGUAACUAUGCACGUCUUGGCGGUACCUAAUCAGAAAGCCACGGCUAACUACGUG